UACGAAGGGGGCUAGCGUUGCUCGGAAUCACUGGGCGUAAAGCGCACGUAGGCGGAUUUUUAAGUCAGGGGUGAAAUCCCGAGGCUCAACCUCGGAACUGCCUUUGAUACUGGGGAUCUGGAGUCCGGGAGAGGUGAGCGGAACUGCGAGUGUAGAGGUGAAAUUCGUAGAUAUUCGCAAGAACACCAGUGGCGAAGGCGGCUCACUGGCCCGGAACUGACGCUGAGGUGCGAAAGCGUGGGGAGCAAACAGG
This 253-nucleotide ribosomal RNA is filed under the name uncultured bacterium. RNAcentral's name for it is "partial 16S ribosomal RNA". It matches the Rfam family "Bacterial small subunit ribosomal RNA", at positions 524 to 776 of the family's 1533-position model. The record is from RNAcentral.